UGUCCAGUUUUUGCUUUCUUAUGUUUGC
This 28-nucleotide non-coding RNA is filed under the name Mus musculus (house mouse). Lineage: Eukaryota; Metazoa; Chordata; Mammalia; Rodentia; Muridae. The record is from RNAcentral.